Homo sapiens (human) is the source of this 498-nucleotide long non-coding RNA. Lineage: Eukaryota; Metazoa; Chordata; Mammalia; Primates; Hominidae. The record is from Ensembl.
AUCCCAGCUACUCGGGAGGCUGAGGCAGGAGAAUCACUUGAACCCGGGAGGCAGAGGUUGCAGUGAGCCGAGAUCGCGCCCCUGCACUCCAGCCUGGGUGACAGAGCAAGACUCCAUCUCAAAAAAAAUAAAGGAAAUAUGCGUCGUUGGAUGCUGUAUGACAAUCAAGCUACUUAUAACAAACAAAAUUGAGAAUGAAGGAUUAUGAUCCAAACUCAGCUGGGCCUCCCCUCCCUGCCCCAGGAUUGUGGAGUGAGAACGUUGCAGCAGGAGAGAACAACGCAGCAAAGCACAGCAGGGGAACCGGAAAUGCUCACCUUUUGACAGGGUACUUUUAGUUCUGGGGCCUUAUCUUAAGGAUAUUCCAACAUAUACAAAAAGAUUCAUGCACAGAGAUAUUUACUUUAGUAUUAUUUACCAUAGGAAAAAAGUUGGAAACAAUACAUUUUAUGUUCUGUAAAAUGAAAGAACAGUUAAAUAAAUCAUGGCUCUAAGACG